GAUGAAGAACGCAGCGAAAUGCGAUAAGUAAUGUGAAUUGCAGAAUUCCGUGAAUCAUCGAAUCUUUGAACGCACAUUGCGCCCCCUGGUAUUCCGGGGGGCAUGCCUGUCCGAGCGUCAUUACAACCCUCAAGCUCAGCUUGGUGUUGGGCCCCGCCGCCCCGGCGGGCCCUAAAGUCAGUGGCGGUGCCGUCCGGCUCCGAGCGUAGUAAUUCUUCUCGCUCUGGAGGUCCGGUCGUGUGCUCGCCAGCAACCCCCAAUUUUCUUCAGGUUGACCUCGGAUCAGGUAGGGAUACCCGCCGAACUUAAGCAUAUCAAUAAGCGGAGGA
RNAcentral lists this unclassified non-coding RNA (329 nucleotides) under soil metagenome. Its description in RNAcentral is "partial contains 5.8S ribosomal RNA, internal transcribed spacer 2, and large subunit ribosomal RNA". The stretch from base 1 to 120 matches the Rfam family "5.8S ribosomal RNA", at positions 35 to 154 of the family's 154-position model. The record is from RNAcentral.